Molecule: long non-coding RNA, 2009 nt
Filed under: Homo sapiens (human)
Lineage: Eukaryota; Metazoa; Chordata; Mammalia; Primates; Hominidae
Description: non-protein coding lnc-NTMT1-4:3
Source: RNAcentral
GUGAGCGCUCGUGAUAAACAGCCCGGAGCCGAGCCGCCGCGCAGCCGGGCGGGAGGCUGCGUAUCAGAGCUCCUGGCAGGCUCGCAAAAAGCUGUCCCCGGCCCGCCGCCGCUCUAUCAGCCCACGGAGGGAGGGCGGCGGGGGAGGGAGGGAAAAAGUAUUUGCUUCAGCCCUUAAUCACGGAAUUUGAAAUCCCAGCGAGUCGGUGCCAUUUAUUUUCAGAGGCUGUCAAGGCUGGUUUCAGCAUUUAAAAGAAAGGAGGAUAAAACGCAUUUGCAUUUCUCCCCCACUCUCGCUGCGCGCUCGCCGGCGCUCCCCCUCGUUCCCUGCGCAGCUCGCGGGUCGGGCGUUGGCGGGGAGGGGGAGGCCAGAGGCUUUUCAAGGCGCUGGGGGCUCCGGCCGGCCCGGUGGGGGCCUCCCCCCGCCAGAGUCAGGGGUGUCGGGCGAUUCCGGGGUGGGGGCCCGAGUCUGGUCCAGCGGGGCUCUGGGUGGCAGAGGGGGGAAGGUUAAGCGGGGCUGCUGGCUUGGGGAAUUUGGGGCCGUCCGCGGGGCUCUCCUCGGGCUCCAAGCUUUCACCCCAGAAAACAGCCCUGAACCCCAAAUUUGCUCCAGCCCCAGGGGGCCCUACCUGCCCUUCCUGGCUUCCCCAGUGGAAAUCUAAGGUACUGGAGGCUUCCAGGGGAGCCAGGGCACCCCUAGGACAACCCCCUCUCUCUGCAGAUGGGGAAACUGAGGCCUGGAAACAGAGAACGGUGGGACCAAGGUCACAUGAUGGCGGAAGGAGGACAAGGAAGGAGGCUGACUGCGUAUCCAGCACGUGUUCCGUGCCAAGCCUGUGCAGGGGCCAAGGACCGGGGUCUCUGGACAGCGCCGGUUGCUGGGUCCCACGCUGGGCGACAGGGCCUUUGCAAUCAGGCCGACAGGGUUUGAACCCUUGCCGCGGCACUUUCCAGAUGGCCUUGGCCACUGUCCCCUCUCUGACCUUCAGAUGGAGCCCAUGGCACCUCCGGAGGGGGUGUGUGCUUCCAGGACCAAAUCCACUUGUGCGUGGUUAGGCACGAGGUGGGGGGAGGCGGCUCAGCCACCGGGACCUGUCCUGCCUCCACCCUCUGUGCAACCCCUUUCCUUGCCUUUUGUCUCUGUUGCUUUUGGGGGGUGAUUAGCCGCUAGCUCAGCGGCUAGAGGAUUCUCUCCCGGAAAAGGCUCCGGAGUUGAGGCCCAGACCCCCAGGGCAAGACGGAAUCUGCUCCCCAGGGCACUAACUGAGACUCGGUUCCCUCACUGGUAAAAUGAGAAAACUCACUUAUGGUCAGGGGUCCCCGAGUUAAUGCCAGUGAAUUCCUUGGCAGAGCAUCAAGCACUUGGAGAAGCCCCCACCCCCGGUCAUUGUGAUGAUGGUUUGUUUGUUUGUUUGUUUGUUUUGAGACGGAGUCUCGCUCUGUCGCCCAGGCUGGAGUGCAGUGGCGCGAUCUCGGCUCACUGCAAGCUCUGCCUCCCGGGUUCACGCCAUUCAGGUGAUGAUGUUUUUUAUUUAUGUGCCCACCUGCCCCACUCCGUAGGGCCCCUCGAGGCCAGGACUGCACCGUUCAUCUCGGAAUUCGCUUGUUCCUAACUUAGGGGAGUGGCGCCGAGACACCGUGUAGCGCCCAUGCCAAGGAGGAAGCGAGACAGCAGGAGCGGAGGAAAGAACCCCGGGCUGUGUUGAGGAAGCCUCCUACUUUUGCCUGAAGUGAGCCACCCAGGACUUUGUGACCACAGCCCUAGCAAACGAAUACGCCGCAUUUCACAGGGCCCUACAGACAGGAGAUGGGAUCUAAGGGAAUUAACCUACUUGCAAGCAGAAAUGAAAGGGAAAGAGAAAAUCCAGAAAUGUUGGAUUUGCAGGAUUGAAAAAGGCAACUAUUCCUCAUCUCGGUCCAAUGAAAGAGCAACUAAGUGAGUGCUCCAGGCGCCCAGUGCCCAAAGGUCCAUAGUCCGUGGGAGGAUCCAGACACUGUCACGUGCAGGAG